This 253-nucleotide ribosomal RNA is filed under the name uncultured bacterium. RNAcentral describes it as "partial 16S ribosomal RNA". It matches the Rfam family "Bacterial small subunit ribosomal RNA", at positions 524 to 776 of the family's 1533-position model. The record is from RNAcentral.
UACGUAGGGUCCGAGCGUUGUCCGGGGUUACUGGGCGUAAAGCGCGCGCAGGCGGCGGUGUUGGCCCGGCGUGAAAGCCCCCGGCUCAACCGGGGAGAGUCGUCGGGGACCGCACCGCUUGAGGGCGGUAGGGGCUGGUGGAAUGCCUGGUGUAGUGGUGAAAUGCGUAGAGAUCAGGCAGAACACCUGGGGCGAAGGCGGCGAGCUGGCCUGUACCUGACGCUGAGGCGCGACAGCGUGGGGAGCAAACAGG